This is a long non-coding RNA of Helianthus annuus (common sunflower), 460 nucleotides long. RefSeq lists it as uncharacterized. Lineage: Eukaryota; Viridiplantae; Streptophyta; Magnoliopsida; Asterales; Asteraceae. The record is from RefSeq and is a predicted model, not a curated record. The transcript is spliced from 4 exons.
UUAUUCGGGUUUUAUGUUUCGGGUUCGGGUCGGGUUGUUUGGGUUUUUGGCCUGAAAAAAGUAACCUGAACCGAACUAUUGAAAUAGUGGGUUGGUCGGGUUCGGGUUUUUCGCUAAAUCUGGUUCGGAUAAAAAUGAAGAGCCUUAUUCACAGAAUGAUGGAUUUGAUAAGGAGGUGGAACUACGAACACUUUUAGUUGAGGUGGCAAAGAAUUGAAGUUAUCGAUGUUGCAGCUGUGAAAAAUACAUGUCAAAUUUGGUGGCGGCUAUUGUUGAUAAGGACUGAUUAGUCUUGGGCAGAUCUGUCCAUUUACCUGUUACGGGUCGUAUGCGUCAAUUCUUGCAUUGAUCGGGUAAAUUUCCUUAAUAGAGACUAUAUGAAACUUUAGCAGAUUAUUAAAAUUUUAAGUUUGAUUAACUUUUAUGAAUUUCAUAGUUUGAAAAUGUUCAGAUCAUUCAU